AAAUGAAUAGACGGGGACCCGCACAAGCGGUGGAUGAUGUGGAUUAAUUCGAUGCAACGCGAAAAACCUUACCUACCCUUGACAUGUACGGAAUCCCAGAGAGAUUUGGGAGUGCUCGAAAGAGAGCCGUAACACAGGUGCUGCAUGGCUGUCGUCAGCUCGUGUCGUGAGAUGUUGGGUUAAGUCCCGCAACGAGCGCAACCCUUGUCAUUAGUUGCUACGAAAGGGCACUCUAAUGAGACUGCCGGUGACAAACCGGAGGAAGGUGGGGAUGACGUCAAGUCCUCAUGGCCCUUAUGGGUAGGGCUUCACACGUCAUACAAUGGUACAUACAGAGGGCCGCCAACCCGCGAGGGGGAGCUAAUCCCAGAAAGUGUAUCGUAGUCCGGAUUGCACUCUGCAACUCGAGUGCAUGAAGUUGGAAUCGCUAGUAAUCGCGGAUCAGCAUGUCGCGGUGAAUACGUUCCCGGGUCUUGUACACACCGCCCGU
This 490-nucleotide ribosomal RNA is filed under the name uncultured bacterium. RNAcentral describes it as "bacterial SSU rRNA". It matches the Rfam family "Bacterial small subunit ribosomal RNA", at positions 903 to 1397 of the family's 1533-position model. The record is from RNAcentral.